UGCAGGUGAGAUUGACAGUUGGUGGGUUAGGUUUGGGAGUGACAUCACCAUGGUGCAGAAAGAUAUCAUGGUUGACAAGCUGAUCGUAUAGUUCUUCAAAUGGAACAAUGGGGUCCUGAUUGUGUAAGGCUGCUAUGAGUUCCUUGUAGGCAUGCUCUAGACCGUAUGUAUUAUAGGGCAGGUUGGCAUCACUGGGAGGAGCACCAAGUUCGUUGACAAUAUUCUUGAUGGAUAACAGGAAUUCUGCCUCUGAUUUGCAGCGACAGGUGAUCUGAGAAAAUUUAUCCUUAAGAUAAAUGAUAUGACCAUGAGAUUUCUUUGUGUACAUCUGCGCAACGCGUGUCCAAGCUUCUUGGCUGGACCAGGCAGAGGACACCAAGGGGACCAUUGUCUGAGACAGUGAGGCCAAGAUGGCAUGUAAGAGUAGCUGAUCUUAACACAUCCAAAACAUGUGGAUUCAAAGAGGAAACACCAUUUGUCGCAGUUGCAGAGGGAGGACAUGGCAUGGUUCAAUCUAGAUAUCCAAGCAAGUCAAGGCCAUAAAAGAGAGAGAUGAACUGAUCCCACCAUGAGAUAUAGUUGACGGAGGUUAGUUUCAAGGGAAGUUGUGCAACAGCAUUAAUGGUGAUGAGGUUCAUGGCAGAUAAAGAUGCUGUGGUGGAGAUGGUAAUGACGGGGUUAUUCUUGACUGAAUCAGUGGCCAUUUCUAGAGAAAGAAGUUUGGUUGAAGAAGAAAAAAAAAAUCACUGAGAGAAGAAAUACUUGUUGGAGUGUCUGUGGCUCUGAUACUAGGUAGGGAAUGCAAAUAUCAGAGAAUACAGUGUUGGAAAAGAAUGCUCAUCUUGUAUUGACUUAUGAUUCAUAUAUUAAUAAUAUAUAUAUUUUUUUUAUAGGUAAAUAGAUUUCAUUAAGAGCCAAAGGCUAGAGAAAAGGCAUACACGAAGUAUACCAAAGACAAAGAAGCAAAAAACAAAGGGACAAAACAAACAUGACCCUUACAUGGUGGCUAGCCAAUCUACAAAAUCUAUCAAAGACAAAGUGUGUUCCUCUAUAUACACCCUAGCCCAAUUCACAAAAGUGUACAAAAAAAUGGAUUUAAUGUCUUGAUCGUUCUUCUCCAUAUCAUCAAAUGCCCUCCUGUUUCUUUCUCUCCAAAUGGUCCACAUCAAACAGAGGGGGGCAGCUCUCCAAGCUUUCUUCCUUUUCUUGCCCACAAAGGAAUCAUGCCAACCUAGGAGAUGUUUUUUCACAGAGGAGUGCAUCACCCAUUGCACCCCAAACAGGGAGAAAAUUAGAAGCCAUAACAUUCUGGCUUUCUCGCAAAACAGUAGAAGGUGAUCUGUGGUUUCCUCCUCAUAUUUACACAAAAAGUAUUUGUUGGGGAUGCUCCAACCAAAUCUCUUAAGGCGGUCCGUGGUGAGCAACCUAUUCCAAGCUGCCUCCCAGCCAAAGAAACUAGCCCUAAUUGGAACCCAAGGCGUCCAAAUAGUUCUAGCCGGGAAGGGGGGUUUGGUAUCCCUUGAGAAAGAGCUAUAAAAGGACUUGACAGAAAAGGUUCCAUUCUUGUUCUCUUUCCACCGGAACAAGUCCUCCACACCUCUUCUAAUGGUUAAGGGAUGAAGCUUGCUUAAUAAGCUUUCGACUUCUCCCACCUCCCAAUCAUUAAGGUGUCUAUUAAAACGAAGCCCCCGGCUACCUCCUCCUUCGUCUUCCUCCCAAGCCUCAGCAACCCAUCCUUCUUUAUUGACAGAGAGGUUAAAUAAGAUGGGGAAAGCUUCUUCCAGAGAUUGAUUUCCACACCACAAAUCCUUCCAAAACUUCACUCUGGUGCCGUCCCCAAUGAUGAAGCGGGCAUGAGAAUGAAAAUUCUCCCAACCUUUUCUGAUGGCCUUCCAGACCCCCACCCCAUACCGGUUUCUUGCAACUUUGGAGCACCAUCCUCCCUCUUGAAGAUCAUACUUACUAAGGAUAAUUUGCUUCCAUAGGGGCUCAUUCUCAUUAGCGAAUCUCCACAACCAUUUCCCAAGAAGGGCCUUGUUAAAAGUAGCUAGACUACGAAUGCCCAAGCCACUUUUCUUUUUAUCGGCACAAACAACCUUCCAACUUACCAAGUGAGGUUUAUUCUCUAAGGCUCCACCGCCCCAUAAGAAAUCCCUUUGGAUCUUUUCAAGCCUUGUGCACACUCUCUUGGGGAUCACAAAGAGAGAGAGAAAGUAGGUUGGGAGGCUUGAGAGGGUGCUUUUCAGCAGGGUAAGACGGCCGCCUUUGGAGAGGUAUUGCCUUUUCCAGAGAGAUAACCUUUUCCUGAAUCUUUCUUCCACUGCAUCCCACACCCUAAUGGAUUUGUAGGGGGCUCCAAGGGGAAGACCCAAGUAGGAUGUAGGUAAGCUCCUUAUCUUACAACCCAAGACCGCCGCAAGAGUCUCCAUAGGAAUGCCUUCCCCCACUGGGAUGGCCUUUGUUUUAUUCAGAUUGACUUUUAAUCCUGAAAUCGCCUCAAACCACAUGAAGGUCCAGCUAAGGUAUUGUAACUGAUCUGCAUCGGCGUCACAGAAAAUUAAGGUGUCAUUGGCAAACAAGAGAUGGGACACGAACAACCCCUCACUUCCUCUUCCUCCCACUUUGAAACCGGAAAUAAAGUUUCCAUUUCUUGCACGGGACAACAAUUGGCUAAGAGCUUCCAUGGCCAAAAGGAAAAGAUAGGGGGAUAGAGGGUCGCCCUAUCUCAAUCCCCUAGAGCUACGAAAGAAGCCCGAGGGGCUUCCAUUGAUAAGGAUCGAGAAGGAAGCCGUGGAGCAGCACCAUUUUAUCCAAUUAAUCCAUCUGUGUCCAAAUCCCAUCUUGGACAUCACCUCCAUAAGAAAGUUCCAAUUGACAUGGUCAAAGGCCUUCUCAAUGUCCAUCUUGAGAAGGAGGCCCGGGAUGUUGUCUUUCAAUCUAGAAUCAAGGUCUUCGUUAGCAAUAAGAACAGCGUCCAAAAUCUGCCUCCCAUGGACAAAAGCAUGCUGAGAAUCAUUCAAAUCACAUGUAAUCAGGGAGAAAUAUCUGCAUGUUUGAAAUCCCUUGAUUAAAGGAGUUAGAAUUGGAAACUCUAUCAGUUAAAGUACUUGUAUUUUGAUAUUUUCUAAAAAUGAUCCUAGUUUAGAAAAUAUUCUUGUGGAUAGUUUUUGGAUUUUUUAUUUUUAUUUUUUCUGUUUAUGAAGACGGUUAACAAUUUUCAUUUGAGCUACCAAAUAGACCAUUAUUGAUUGUUUACUUAUUAUGUUAUCAUCUAAAAAUCUGACAAUUCCUUAGUAUUGAUAUGGAUUUUAGUUAGUAAUAAUGAUCUUAUAGUGGUUGAAUAUGUGCAAACAUUAUCUGAAAAUUUUGGAUGGAAUGUGGAACUAUGAAUUAGCUUAAGUUCAUGGCCAAUGAGUUUUUGUUAGUAUUAAUAUAUGGGAAUUCAACUUUAGUAAUUCAGUCUUCAUAUACAAUGCACUACUAGUGGCUCCUAUAAUGUUGGAAGGUAGAUUUGUUGAAGAUGGUAUUCAAAAAUUAAUAAAAUAAUAUUCAUGGAGGGUUAAAAAUUAAGCUCAACUUGCUGCAAUAGAAUGUGGAUCACCAGAAUUUACCCCAUCACGGCUAGUUUAAUACUACAUUUUUGAGUUAUAUAUACAUGCAUAUACACAGGAAUGAAAAUACAUAAUAUGUUAUGUAGGUACAAAAACUUGCAUUCACACAUAUAUGAGCAUUCUAGGAUAUCUAAGGAAUUUUGGGAGUUGCCAUUCUUGAAAUUUGCUUAGUUUUCUAUUUCUCAUAUGCCGUGGGAGGAGGCUGGAGGGAGCAGCAUUAUGACAUCCCAUAACUUGUUCUCUUACUUUGCUGACCUCCAACUACAAAGCCCCCACCUGCCCAGCCACUAACACCCAUCAACCCACCCCCGCCAGAGACACCAACUCCAAAAUGGCCAAAACCUCAAAAGGAAAAACAAAUCACUUAGCAAUUUUGGUAUGUAUUCUCUCACCAUAGAGUGCUUCUUUUUCAUUUUUUGAAUAAGUCAAGCAUUUUAAGCAUUUGAUAUACAUGCCACUUAGAAAGGAUGGAGGUUUUUGAGAGCCAUGUGUUAAAACUCUCUCAUGACUUAUCAUUUAGUCAAAAUUAUAUCUUAAUCAUUGUGAUAGAGAAAAUUUUGUUCUCACUCCCUGCAUUGUGUCAUAGGGCAAAUUUGCAGCUUUGGCUGCUCUUAUCUUUUUGUAGGUUUUAAGGCUGCACAUGAUAUAGGAAUUUCCAAAUCUAGGACUAUUUGUCCAGUCAUGUCAUGUUAGGCAAGUCUUGUUUGUGUAGGUAUUUCAAUUUGGAACUUGCAAAAAUGGAACCUUUCCAGCAAAGUUGAACUGCUGGUCCCAAGACCAAAAGAUAAGGAUUUGCCUCAGGCUACAAGUCAAACCAGCAAAGUAAAACGUCAAAGUUCUCCUGCACAAAGGCUUACUGGUGCAAAACCUUUAGUAGCUUUAAUCCAAUUCCAAGAAUCUUGAGUUCAGCAUAUUUCUAAAAUUUGAGCCUAAUCAUCAUUCUGGAAUAGAAUCAGGGAAACCUUCUUGCAGUGUGUCUUGCACAGGUUUUCUUUAUCUGUACUUCUUGUAGGUUGUUGUAUUUGGAAACUUAUUGGCUCAAAAACCGUCGAUCAUUUACAUUUUGGAAGAUUAUUUUAUUCAAAUUUUAUUAGAACAUAAAUGAUGCAGUAUUUUCAGUUGAGUUAGAUCAUGAUAUUUUUAGCUCUCUUUGAAUCUUUUCAGUUAGCUGUUUUUUUGGUAAAAACUUGAUAUAAGUUGUUUGAGGUUGGAGAAACUUCCCUGGCAAGUAUCCAUUCCAUCCAAGUAGAAUUCCUAUGGACAGCUACAAUUAAUAGGAUUUUGAUUGAAAGCCAGCCAAUCUUUUGGAAUUAGGCUAUGGCAACAGGCUGUGUGUGUGUUAUUUUUCUUUUUCUUCUUCCCUUCUUUGGUUUUUUUUUUUUUUGUUGUUGUUGUUGUCAGUUUUGAUUCUUUUUACUUGCCUAAGUAGGAAAUAUUGCUCAUCUGCCCCAUAUGUUGUGGAAUGUUUCUCAUUUUCCCUGUUACGUCUACUGAGGAUGAGGAAUUGGCCUAUCCUUUUAUACAGUUAGUGGAAAAGAAUGCUUUAAACAGGGCUAUAUCCCAUAUUCUAUAUGAAUCUUUUCCUAAAGGAGACCCAUAGUUGGGUAUUCAUGUUGAGUAGGCAUUUAUACUAUGUAAAUUCAAUGUUGAAGUACUUUGCUUUUCAGAGCACUGAAUUUACUGCAAAAUACAUAGUUCUCAUACUUCUGAUUAUACCUGGCCACCUUUUUUUUUUACUGUUUGAGCCAAAAUUAGCUAAAUUUUAUGGCAAAUCACCAUUAACAUUCAAGAUAACAUGACCUUUUAAUCAAGAUAUUAACUGCAUAAAGCAACAUAUAACAUUCAUGAACAAUAAGGCUGAAAGAGGCAAAAACAUGCAUCCAUCAAUAUCUUACAUAAACACAUUCAAAACCUGUGGUUGGAUGAAAUAUGUCUAAAUAUGUAAAUGCUCUAUGUGAUAGGUUAUAUGAUAAAAUUUUACCUUUCUAAACUUGCAAGUAUCAAAAAAACUCUAAACAAUGUCCAAGCAAUGUCCCAAAAAGAGGUCAUCAUGUUUUAUGGAUGUAGAAAACCUUGCAAAAGAAUUUCAAAGCACUCCCCUUUAGAUGUGAAACAAGCAUAGAAGAAUUGGAUAGGAUUUAGAGAUUUAUAAAGAAAGCUAUCUUAAACUUUUAUAAGAUGGGAGAAAAUAUGAAAAUGAAAUGGUGUUAGACAAUAUUCUAAAUGCUUCAGAGAGAAGAGCUCUGUAUGGGAGAGGCAAAAGAAAACAAAAGAAAAAUGGCAUGUACAUUUAAGCAAUAACAAUCUUUUAAGAAAAAUGGCAUAAACUUGGUUUUUUCUUAAAACUACUUAGAAAAAUGUGCAUGUACUGCAUGUGUCAUAUCUUGUAGCAUUAAGUUUGUGAUAACUGCAGUUAAUUGACAUUAGUUUCAAGAUUGCAUGAAAGAUAUGCAUGUAGGAUUGGACUUCCCAAUUCCAAUGAGAAAGGAGAGACUGAAAGUGAUGUUGCCCCAUUGGAUUAGAUUAGCAUUGUCGAAAGUGGAACAAAGGGCUUCCAGAAAGUUGUGUGGCUGAUGAAUGUCUAUCAUAACUAGGGUACAAUUGUGUAAAGUGAUUAUAGCAUCAACCUUACUUUAUGGAGUAUGUUUGACAGUUAAGAAUACAAUAUCUCUAUUAUAUGUGCAUUGGGGAAAUGAUGUUGAGAUGGAUGGGUUGCUGGACAAGAAAGGGUGGAAUCGGAAAUGAAUCCAGUUGAGUAACUGGCAACACAAACUGAGGACAUGGGGAUAGGGAAUCAGUAAUGAAGACCAAUGAUUACACCAGUACAGACAAGUGAUCUGUCAUUUUCCAAUUCUUAAUGAAUUAUAAUAGAAAUCUCAAUCUUCGUUGGAUUUGAACUGGAAUGGUUGCUGAAGCCAAUAUUUGGAACAUUGCUAUUGUCUAUCUAUGACCAUUUGAGGACAAGUUAGGUGGUCCAUGGACCCAUUCUCCAUUACUUUGGUUCAAGAUACAUUUUUAAGUAGGAAAAGAAAACGACCAAGCGAUACUUGUUGGGUGAUAGUCUUUGAUUUUGUAGAACAUACUAUGUGAUUUAUUUCCUGAUCCCUCAGACAACAGAUUUAAAUCCCUCUGUCUAUGUUAUUUGUUUGCAAUUUAAUUAGUAGUUAUGGUCAGUAGAUCCAUACCCCUUUCACUAAUAUUACUCUCUUAUGCACUUUACAUGAGUGGUUGAAUCUGGGAUUUUCACCCAAUGAACGUUGCUCAAGUGUCAAUUCCAGACACUUUGGCAAGAUGCUUCCUUUCUUACUGACACAUGCUGUUUUCAAGUUGGCACCAGCUCUUUGUUAAAAAUUUUCUUUGGUAUACAGAACUACUUGAGUUUUGGUUCAUGUAUUCUUCUGUAUGCUGGGAUGCAGGUUCCAUGGUUGAUUAAUUCUUAAUUUUGCAUAUGUGAAUUUUAGAAUGAGGAACUUAAGAAACCCUAGGGGAUUUUGGUGUUGUACUAGAAAGAGUGGGCAGCAGAUGCAUCAAUGCAGGCAAACUGAACUUUUCUGAUUGAGAGUUAAAUAAAGCAGACAACACUUUUGGUCUGAAAUAUAUUCUCAUACAGUCAACAUGUCUCACAUGAAAGUAUGCCUUAGUAUUCUUCCUUGCUUUUCCUGUUUAGGAGCGGGUGUUGGGUUACUUAUUAGGGUUCUCCAUAUGGUUUCUACAAUGUUACUUCUUCCCUUUUUUAACAACAGAAACAGAGAGAGAGAGAGGGAAAGCCCAAAAAAAAAAAAAAGAAAGGAGAAGUUAAUAGCUAUUGACCCUAUGAUUUUCCAACAUGAACACCUGGAGUUGGUUUGUACCAUAUGUGGCCCCUCAAUAAUUUCGAAUUUGUCAACUUCAUUUCGUCGUAUUUGCUAUGCAACAAGCAAUUAGAAUUUUCAAAAGGGUGCUGGCCCUUUGAGCUGAGGAUAUUUGCACGAGACGAAUACUAAUGUGAUCAAUGAUGAGACAGCUUGGUUGGGAGAUGGGAAGUUGCCGUCAUACUUUUUCUACAUACAGAAAAAUCAGGACCCAUUAGGCAGGUCCAUUUCCACUAAUGAAAUAUCCUCAGCAGCCUGCAAUGAGCUUGGCCACUUGGUUAAUUCUCCACUGUUGGAUCUUCUCACAUGCCAUAGUUGAUUGUGACUAGCUUGGCGGCCCCAUUUGUAGCAAACAUUUCCGAAGGCUCUGUGCAUGGAGCCCUUUUAUCAUCUCUAUGGGGGGAAUCACACAAUACUUGUGAGUGCUUUCCGCACCAGCCAUGGUGUGCCAAGUCAAUCAUCAACUGUUACAAGUUUAAAAGAAAAGGUUCGUUUUCUUUUUGAGUUUUGCAUAGGUGCCAUGUGGCCCGGCUUUCAAUUGCUCAAAUAUUUUAAACGGACUCCUUUUUCAUAAUGUUUGGUGGAUGGCAUGCUGUAUUACCUGCUUUUGAAUUAUAUCGGCCAUUUUAA
Vitis riparia (riverbank grape) is the source of this 8092-nucleotide long non-coding RNA. RefSeq lists it as uncharacterized. The transcript has 2 exons. The record is from RefSeq and is a predicted model, not a curated record. NCBI's taxonomy places the organism in Eukaryota, Viridiplantae, Streptophyta, Magnoliopsida, Vitales, Vitaceae.